Molecule: long non-coding RNA, 712 nt
Organism: Rhinopithecus roxellana (golden snub-nosed monkey)
Lineage: Eukaryota; Metazoa; Chordata; Mammalia; Primates; Cercopithecidae
Exons: 4
Source: RefSeq, a predicted model, not a curated record
AGCCACCCUGCUGCGUAGCUCUGUGUGGACCAGCUGUGUCCUUCAGUGCAGGUCCAGUCAAGAGCCGUGGGCCACAGAGGACACUGGUGCAGAAGCAGAGGGCAGACUAGGCAGAGGCAAGGCUUUCCUGUGCCCUGAGCUAUCAGAGAUGGGCCAGAGCCAUCAGCUUCCUCGAUAGGGCAGAAGUAACCACGCUAGCUCCACUCAGCAAAGGAUGUGGACAGAACUGCCGGGCUUGCCUGAGAGGAGGAGAAAUGUGGAAUUGAGUGAGGCUCUCUGAGAAGGUUCUGCUGGAGUUAAGAAAAAUUAGGGAGUUUGAAGCUUCAGGAGUGCCCUCCGGCCACAUGAAGACCAGGCGCUAACAAACUUCUGCAAGUUGCACCAAUGCCAACUCCUGUCUUACUCUCGCAGAGGCCUCCUGGGCUCUUCUGAGAAGGGUAACAAAAAACCUUGCUUCAGCUAAUUGUGCAAAAAUGGAAAUUUAUUAGCUAUGAAAUUGAAGAGUUGAAAGUGGCUUCAGGAAUGGAACCAUGUCUUAUCUUGGCCCAUGUCACAUGACCCAGAGCCAAGAGAAGCUUCAUUCUCAUCCCCAUGAACCAGGAAGCUUGGCCACCGCCCCACAUCCUCCCUCAGGAUCCCAGCAUCUUAUUUUCCCCUUCCUUCCAUCUCCAACCUGCACUCUCCUCCAAGACCAAGAUUUCCUAACCUUCCA